RNAcentral lists this ribosomal RNA (206 nucleotides) under uncultured bacterium. RNAcentral describes it as "partial 16S ribosomal RNA". It matches the Rfam family "Bacterial small subunit ribosomal RNA", at positions 123 to 334 of the family's 1533-position model. The record is from RNAcentral.
AAGCUCCGAUGGAGGGGGAUAACUACUGGAAACGGUAGCUAAUACCGCAUAACGUCGCAAGACCAAAGAGGGGGACCUUGGGCCUCUUGCCAUCGGAUGUGCCCAGAUGGGAUUAGCUAGUAGGUGGGGUAAAGGCUCACCUAGGCGACGAUCCCUAGCUGGUCUGAGAGGAUGACCAGCCACACUGGAACUGAGACACGGUCCAG